This 497-nucleotide ribosomal RNA is filed under the name uncultured bacterium. RNAcentral describes it as "partial 16S ribosomal RNA". It matches the Rfam family "Bacterial small subunit ribosomal RNA", at positions 28 to 507 of the family's 1533-position model. The record is from RNAcentral.
GAUGAACGCUGGCGGCGUGCCUAAUACAUGCAAGUCGAGCGAACAGAUGAGGAGCUUGCUCCUCUGACGUUAGCGGCGGACGGGUGAGUAACACGUGGAUAACCUACCUAUAAGACUGGGAUAACUUCGGGAAACCGGAGCUAAUACCGGAUAAUAUAUUGAACCGCAUGGUUCAAUAGUGAAAGACGGUUUUGCUGUCACUUAUAGAUGGAUCCGCGCCGCAUUAGCUAGUUGGUAAGGUAACGGCUUACCAAGGCAACGAUGCGUAGCCGACCUGAGGGGGUCAUCGGCCACACUGGAACUGAGACACGGUCCAGACUCCUACGGGAGGCCGCAGUAGGGAAUCUUCCGCAAUGGGCGAAAGCCUGACGGAGCAACGCCGCGUGAGUGAUGAAGGUCUUCGGAUCGUAAAACUCUGUUAUUAGGGAAGAACAAAUGUGUAAGUAACUAUGCACGUCUUGACGGUACCUAAUCAGAAAGCCACGGCUAACUACGUG